Mobula hypostoma (lesser devil ray) is the source of this 758-nucleotide long non-coding RNA. RefSeq lists it as uncharacterized. The record is from RefSeq and is a predicted model, not a curated record. NCBI's taxonomy places the organism in Eukaryota, Metazoa, Chordata, Chondrichthyes, Myliobatiformes, Myliobatidae. The transcript is spliced from 3 exons.
AGUUGGUAUCGCUCGGCAGUUUAACAAAGGAUUGACCUUAUUGAGUCUUCGUUGAAGAAGUAGCGACCUGCAUCGCAGAUAACUCCUGCCAAAAGAGGAAGAUAGUUCAUGCAAGAUUUGCUCUCUAGAAAUUCAGUAGAAACGGUAGCUGAGUCAUACGUGAAUGCCAGGAGCUGGAGUUGGCUGUCAGAGGCCAUUUGAGGUGCACGCCAUUGGGAGCUUUUAAAAGGAGAACAAUAAGGAGGAGAAGAUGGCGGCACGACGGCAGCUCGCGUGGCCUCUCCGGUGAAUGAAUGAUAUCUUUAUCUGUCAAGUAGGGGACCGUGCACAAUUCUGAUUUGAUGGAGACAGACGUGAGAGUACGGAGGAACAUCUGGAAAACUUCUGAAAUGCCGGCUUCACUGCCGCUGUUAUUGUAUGGUAACCGGAAUCUCUGGAGCUGAAGGCCUCGAAAUCUUCGGCUUUGCUUGUUUCAGCGGCUGGGGCAAGGUCGAAGGUGCUCGGCAGAGGAUGGCACUCGGAAGGCUGUAUUGGAGAGGCUGGUCGGAGGCUUGACGUUUUCAGAAAGAUGGACUCAGUGUCGGCUGUGGUCGGCUGCUUCCAAGGCAUCGGUAAGUUGGCGGUGCCUGGAGGUUUAUGGCGGGGAGUUUUCUCCCUUUUGCCGCCUGCUAUCAGGGACUCGGGAGUCGAUUGACUUGGGGACUUUGAGACUUUUUUUUACCGUGCCCAUGGUUUGUUCUUCAUCAAAUUAUGGUAUU